This 232-nucleotide ribosomal RNA is filed under the name uncultured Pseudomonadales bacterium. RNAcentral describes it as "partial 16S ribosomal RNA". It matches the Rfam family "Bacterial small subunit ribosomal RNA", at positions 99 to 334 of the family's 1533-position model. Lineage: Bacteria; Pseudomonadati; Pseudomonadota; Gammaproteobacteria; Pseudomonadales. The record is from RNAcentral.
CGGACGGGUGAGUAAUGCCUAGGAAUCUGCCUGGUAGUGGGGGACAACGUUUCGAAAGGAACGCUAAUACCGCAUACGUCCUACGGGAGAAAGCAGGGGACCUUCGGGCCUUGCGCUAUCAGAUGAGCCUAGGUCGGAUUAGCUAGUUUGUGAGGUAAUGGCUCACCAAGGCGACGAUCCGUAACUGGUCUGAGAGGAUGAUCAGUCACACUGGAACUGAGACACGGUCCAG